RNAcentral lists this ribosomal RNA (528 nucleotides) under uncultured bacterium. RNAcentral describes it as "bacterial SSU rRNA". It matches the Rfam family "Bacterial small subunit ribosomal RNA", at positions 355 to 894 of the family's 1533-position model. The record is from RNAcentral.
UAGGGAAUCUUCCGCAAUGGGCGAAAGCCUGACGGAGCAACGCCGCGUGAGUGAUGAAGGCCUUCGGGUUGUAAACUCCUUUCGACAGGGACGAAGCUUUUGUGACGGUACCUGUAUAAGAAGCACCGGCUAACUACGUGCCAGCAGCCGCGGUAAUACGUAGGGUGCGAGCGUUGUCCGGAAUUACUGGGCGUAAAGAGCUCGUAGGUGGUUUGUCGCGUCGUCUGUGAAAUUCCGGGGCUUAACUCCGGGCGUGCAGGCGAUACGGGCUGACUUGAGUGCUGUAGGGGAGACUGGAAUUCCUGGUGUAGCGGUGAAAUGCGCAGAUAUCAGGAGGAACACCGAUGGCGAAGGCAGGUCUCUGGGCAGUAACUGACGCUGAGGAGCGAAAGCAUGGGUAGCGAACAGGAUUAGAUACCCUGGUAGUCCAUGCCGUAAACGGUGGGCGCUAGGUGUAGGGGGCUUCCACGUCUUCUGUGCCGUAGCUAACGCAUUAAGCGCCCCGCCUGGGGAGUACGGCCGCAAGCU